GGCCAAAUUGGUACUAAAUAAAAAAGUAAAUGGCCAAUAUAUAGUUGCUUAGCCGUACUACAUUUAAACCUAAAAUUAUAUCUAAAAUGGAAAACAGCAAGAAGCCAGCAGCCAAGUAUGGAACUCCCAGAACCUAGAUACAGUUGAAUGAUUAAUUUCAAUUGAUCUAUUCACCAAAAAAUAGUCCCCCAAUACCCGAGCAUUCAAAAAUAGAGUGAAGUUGCAAGAAGCAAGAAGCCACACAACUCAAAAAGAAAAAGAAAAACCUUAUAUAGCAUCGUUUUAAAAUUGCAACUACUUGAGCUAAUCAUCAAGGAUAUCACAAUCAUUUGCAAUUGAAGAUUGAGAGGAGCAUUGAUGUAUCAUGUUUUCCCUGUAUCGUUACCUGAUGUAUCAAAAUAAAGUGUGGGCAAGAAUUUGGAAGCAAGUUUGAGGAUCUUGGUUUUCCAGAAGAUUCUCUAUCCUAUCCAAAAUUUGAGCAGCUUUGGCCUUAGCUGACAAAGCUUCCUUGACCGUAAUGUCAGUGUUAAUCCUUUCCAUAAUGACGGCAUUGAGGAUAGACUCAAAAACAAUGUUGGCAGCGGCAACCAACUAUUUUGCAAAAUGGAGGUUGAUUUCAAUGGUGUUCUUAUAAGAAUCAUUGGGAGUAACAUAGAAAGUGAAAUUAGGGUUAGAACAAAGAGGGCACAAGUAAAUAGGAGAGUUGGAAGCAACAUCAUGGAUGCAAGAGAGGUGUGAGAUAGAGGGUCAUUUUAAGCAAAUGAGGCUGUAGAGGGGGAGGAGGGCUGUGGAGGAAGAUGUCGAAGCAGAUGACAGAAGGAACUGGGUUGGGGGUCAAGUAUGCAGGUGGUGCAAAGAUGGCGGUGGACACCUCUGUAGGGGAGAAGGCGGAGGAUGAAGGGGAGAGUGGCGGCACAGACUGCGCAUUGUUGUCUGGAAAGACCUUCAUUUUUCUACUCCUGCACCUGUUGCAGCAUCAUAAUGUACAAACAAUUCGCUCUAUCUCCAUCGCCUCCCUUUAAUUAUAAUAAAAAGCUUACAUUUAUUUAUACUGAAUGAUGUUGGAAACUUGUUGAGAUUCUAAGUACCCACACCCCUUUUCUCUCUGAUGUUCUCUGAAUGGAUUCAUGACUGAUUGAAAUAGAUGCAUAUUUCAUAUUUCAUUUGGAAAUUGUGAACUCUCAUAUUUAUUUAUACGGACUAAUAUAAGGAACUUUUUGUGAUUCUAAGAAUCCAGCCCUCUCAUUGCUCUCGUAUGUUUUCUGAAUGCAUUCAUGAAUGAUUGAAAUAGACACAUAUUUUCUUUUUUUACGUGGAAAUUGUGAAAUAUCACACAAAUUAUUAAUGUUAUCUGGAGCAGACACUUCUCUUCCCUCUAUAUAUCCUGUACCGCAUUGUAGAUUCUACUUACGCUCCCCUAUGUCAAUGACUCGCCACAUGUAAGGAUACUUGGUUACCAAUAGACAUGCCUUACGACUUAGAAAAAAUGUGUAUUCAUGUCGUUGAUUGCAGACAUGGUCAAGUUAUUGAUAUCAUUUUGGAGUUCUUUGCCCUGUAUGAGUUGUUUUUGUACAUAACAAAUAGGCAAUUUCUGCUCUUGUUUGUUUUUCUUUGUUUUGAAAAUUUUCUUUCAUGUGGACAUGGCCCUAUAUCCAAGCUUUUUUUUUCGGUUGUAUGAAUUUUCUUGUUAGUAUAAUUUUAAUGCUUGUUUCGAUUGUUACUUGAAUUUUAUUGUAGGUAUCAUCAAUUCCUUCAUUAGGUAAUGAGGAUAAUUCCCAUUUUGUAUAACCAGCUAUAUGAUGAGAUCGAAUCGUUGCGUUAUUUUUCUUGUUUUAUCCUUCAGCUUACCUUUGAAUAGUAGUCUUCUUUUAACUAACUUAGAAUCUCAACAAGUUUUCUAUAUCAGUCCGUAUAACUAAAUGUAAGAUUUCUAUUAUGAUUAUGAUUACGAUAGGCCAUAAAGAUAGAGCAAAUUGUUUGUUCAGAUGCCACAGCAGGUGGAAGUGUAGCCUUAUGAAGAUGUUUUCAGACGUCGAUACACGAUUUGCGCCACCAUUCACCCAUUCAUCCUCCACCUUCUCCCCUAGAGAGUUCUACACAGCCAUCUUUCAUCAGCCUGCUUACCGGACUCCCACCCCGGUUCCUUCUGCCCCAUAUGCUUUGAUGUCUUCCUCCACACCCUUCCUCCCUGUCACCAGCAUCUCCUUUGACUAAAUUGCCUCUCUUUCUCACACCUCUCAUGCAUCCUUGUUGCUUGCUUCCUCCUCCCCUUGUUACUUGCCCCCUCAUUGUUCUAACCCUAAUUUCACUUUCCUUUAUGGUACACCCGAUGAUGCUAAUAACUCCACUGAAAUCAACCUCCAUUUGGCUAAACAGUUGAUUGCCGCUGCUACCAUUGAUUUUGAGUCUAUAUAUAAUGUUACAAUUAUGGCCAGGAUCAAUACCGACGUUAGGGUCAAGGAAGCUUUGUCAGCUACAGCUGAAGUUGCCCAUGUUUUUGACAGGUUAAAGCAUUUGCUGGACAAC
This 2526-nucleotide long non-coding RNA is filed under the name Capsicum annuum. RNAcentral describes it as "long non-coding RNA (CANN_LNC012962)". The record is from RNAcentral. Lineage: Eukaryota; Viridiplantae; Streptophyta; Magnoliopsida; Solanales; Solanaceae.